GAAAAGGGAUCGGAUAUCGUUACGAGGUCAAGGAGCCGAAGUUCCAGGCCAACGUAAAUAAAUUUCUAGCAAGUAUAGUCUCUUUCCCUUGCUGAUGGAUAUGGGAAGUUUUCCGUCAAUCCCUUUGAGGAUAAUGCUAUGAUGAGGAGAUUUUAGAGGUAUCAGUGAAGUACUAACUAAGCUAAAAAAAUUGCAAAUUUGUAAGCUGGGAGUCAUUGUUAUAAUACACCGCUCGAGGACUACACACGAAUGACAAAUCCAAAGGCUUGCGGUGUAUCGCACGGUUGGUCCAUAUCAGUAGCAAUUACUUUAUUAUUUUGUUGAAGCCCGGAAAAUCUUCUGAAGCAGAAAAGGUUUAUAUAUGAAUUGUUUAUGUAACUUCAAUGUGUUGAGAAGAUUGAUUAUAAUAACUCCGGUGAAACAAGUGAGCCCGGAAAAGGGAGGUACCGGAUUCAAGUCAAUGAACCUCAUCAAAUAGAAAAAUAUAUGAAGCCGAAAAUAAAAGAUCCAACUCAGCUAUUGCCUAAAUCUUUAUCGUAAGUUAAUACGAAUUCACUUUGUUGUUUUUGUUACUAAGGUGCAUUGACAAAAAGUGAUUUGAUUAAUGCUUAUAUAACUUGGUAUAUUUAGUCUUAAUUUUAUUUGGUU
Erigeron canadensis is the source of this 648-nucleotide long non-coding RNA. RefSeq lists it as uncharacterized. The record is from RefSeq and is a predicted model, not a curated record. NCBI's taxonomy places the organism in Eukaryota, Viridiplantae, Streptophyta, Magnoliopsida, Asterales, Asteraceae. The transcript is spliced from 4 exons.